Cricetulus griseus (Chinese hamster) is the source of this 156-nucleotide unclassified non-coding RNA. Ensembl annotates it as predicted gene, 27608. Lineage: Eukaryota; Metazoa; Chordata; Mammalia; Rodentia; Cricetidae. The record is from Ensembl.
AGGGAAAGAGGCCAAUGCUACAAGGGUUAUCUCACAACCUCAGAUGGUGGAUAAGUCAAAGGAGGCAGAAUCGCUUCUGGAUGACAUUCAGAGUGAUUAUUUGGAAGAGAAAGCCCUGCUUAUUCUUUCAAAGGUAAACAGUUCAUUUCAUCUAUC